This 27-nucleotide non-coding RNA is filed under the name Bombyx mori (domestic silkworm). The record is from RNAcentral. Lineage: Eukaryota; Metazoa; Arthropoda; Insecta; Lepidoptera; Bombycidae.
AAAACUUACAAAUAACUUACCGAAUGC